GGCUGGUCCAAAAGUAAUAGGUUACCAAAGUUAUUACUGUUAGUUUCACUAACCUUUCUAAAUUCCACCCUGCUCCUAACCUUGUCUGGUUUUUG
RNAcentral lists this Y RNA (95 nucleotides) under Naja naja (Indian cobra). RNAcentral describes it as "Y RNA (ENSNNAG00000005258.1)". It matches the Rfam family "Y RNA". From Rfam's summary of the family: Y RNAs are components of the Ro ribonucleoprotein particle (Ro RNP), in association with Ro60 and La proteins. The Y RNAs and Ro60 and La proteins are well conserved, but the function of the Ro RNP is not known. Lineage: Eukaryota; Metazoa; Chordata; Lepidosauria; Squamata; Elapidae. The record is from Rfam by way of RNAcentral.